GGCCAAUCUCUCCCGUCUCGCGCAGCACUGGUUACUGGCCGGGGGUCCCAACGCACACCAGGUAGCGGAGCGUGUCGUCGUGGAUCGCCUCCUGCGGGCCCUUCCUCGCCCGCUACGUCAGGCAGCCGGCAUGCGGAACCCAGCGAACGUGGACGAACUGGUAGAGGCCAUCGAGCUGGCGGAGGCCACCCAACACCGGGAGGUUGGGGAGAGAGCGCCGCCGUUUCCCCGAAGGGUGGUCCAGGAGCGGCGCACGCCGGAGGGCACCCAGCGACCGGUGAGCAGGCCGGCGGUUCCCGGCCCUAGAGAUGAGCCCAUGCCCACCGAGGCACCCCGUUCACCGCCACGACCUUGGCUGGCAGGCUGCGCCGUGCACACGGAGAACGCGCCGCGGGCGGAGGUUAGGGGUAAUUGAACCAUCUCACAGCCCAUGGUCCAGCCCCAUCGUCAUGGUUCCUAAGCCCGACGGCACCCUCCGCUUCUGUAAUGACUUCCGCCGCCUCAACGAAGUCUCCGAGUUUGACUGCUAGCCAAUGCCC
Molecule: long non-coding RNA, 539 nt
Organism: Cyprinus carpio carpio
Lineage: Eukaryota; Metazoa; Chordata; Actinopteri; Cypriniformes; Cyprinidae
Source: Ensembl